UCCGAAAUUACAAACAUUCCCAAAACACCAUGAAUAAGAAACUACAAGACACAUACAUAACACUAUGACUACAGGUAUAUCGACAAACUAAGCACUCAGCCUUACUAUACACUAUGACUACAGGUAUAUUGAUACACUAAACACUCUUCCCUACUAUACACUAUGACGACAGGUAUAUCGACAAACUAAGCACUCUUCCUUACUAUACAGUAUACACUAUGACUACAGAUAUAUCGACAAACAAAGCACUCCUCCCUACUAUACAUUACGACUAUAGGUAUAUCGACAAACUAAGCACUCCUCCCUACUAGUAAGGACGCACUCCUAACCACCACUCUUCUAUCCUACUCCGCAUCCUCCACACUUUCCUAUCAAGGGUCAUGUCCUCUGUAUAAGCUGUAACAGCUCCAUGUCAUGCCUAAUCACUUCUCUCCAAUAUUUCUUCGGCAUCCAUAGCAAGCCUCCCACAGCGUAAUGCUACGAAUUAUCUAUCCAAAAUCACAAACAUCCCCAAGACACCACGAAUAACAAAUUACAAGACACAUGCAUAACGCUAUGAACAGGUAUAUCGACAAACAAAACACUCCUCCAUACUAGUAAGUACGCACUCCUACACACUAACCCUCUAUCCUACUCCGCAUCCUCCACAUUUUCCUAUUAAGUGUCAUGCCCUCUAUAAGCAGUAACUGUUCCAUGUCAUGCCUAAUCACUUCCCUCCAAUAUUUCUUCGGCCUACCACUACCCCAUCAGAAACCAUCCAUAGCAAGCCUCUUAAUGCUAUAAAUUAUCUAUCCAAAAUUACAAACAUCCCCAAAACACCACGAAAAAGAGACUACAAAACACAUGGAUAACACUACGACUACAGGUAUAUCGACAAACUAAGCACUCCUCCCUACUAUAUACUAGGACUACAGGUAUAUCGACAAAUAAAACACUCUUCUCUACUAUUACGAACACACUACUACCUACUAACCCUCUAUCCUAAUCUGCGUCUUCCACACUUUCCUUGCAAGGAUCAUGUCCACAGUAAGCUGCAACUGCUCUGCGUCAUGCCUAAUUGCUUUCCUCCAAUAUUUCUUCGGCCUAACACUACCCCCCAUCAG
Molecule: long non-coding RNA, 1103 nt
Filed under: Capsicum annuum
Lineage: Eukaryota; Viridiplantae; Streptophyta; Magnoliopsida; Solanales; Solanaceae
Description: long non-coding RNA (CANN_LNC021274)
Source: RNAcentral